CUACGGAGGGUCCAAGCGUUAUCCGGAAUCAUAGGGUUUAAAGGGUCCGCAGGCGGUCAAUUAAGUCAGAGGUGAAAGCCCAUCGCUCAACGAUGGAACUGCCUUUGAUACUGGUUGACUUGAGUUAUACGGAAGUAGAUAGAAUAAGUAGUGUAGCGGUGAAAUGCAUAGAUAUUACUUAGAAUACCGAUUGCGAAGGCAGUCUACUACGUAUAUACUGACGCUGAGGGACGAAAGCGUGGGGAGCGAACAGGAUUAGAAACCCUAGUAGUCC
RNAcentral lists this ribosomal RNA (274 nucleotides) under uncultured bacterium. RNAcentral's name for it is "partial 16S ribosomal RNA". It matches the Rfam family "Bacterial small subunit ribosomal RNA", at positions 523 to 796 of the family's 1533-position model. The record is from RNAcentral.